This 701-nucleotide long non-coding RNA is filed under the name Brachypodium distachyon (stiff brome). RNAcentral describes it as "long non-coding RNA (BDIS_LNC005257)". Lineage: Eukaryota; Viridiplantae; Streptophyta; Magnoliopsida; Poales; Poaceae. The record is from RNAcentral.
GCAAAUAUAAUACAUGCAUUGAAACCGAACAGUCAACAGAAAACACAUCAGAUACAUGUGAUAAAACCACUUUCAGAUGAAACAAAGGCUGCUUUACAAUCACUUUGGUGUAAUCCUAUACCCAAAAGAAAUAAAAUGUAAGGAGCAGUGCCAUGUGAGAUGCCGGAAAUCAAGCAGGUCUCGUUUCAUCUGAAUGUGCACAAAGAACAGAUUUAUUAGGAGCAUGAACAAUGCAUAUCACCAUGUGAGGGAUCCAUCAGGAGAAGCAAAUAGGUAGCCUAAUGGAUCAGUGCUCACCGAGAUUGUUCGAUCACUGAAUCUGGAAGCCAUCACUGUCUCCUUGCGCACUGCCAAUAACCAUGUUCUCGACACACCUCUUGUUCGCAGCGCGUUCAGUAUGGCAGCCACUGAUGAAAAGAAAGGGAACCAAUGCCUACUAGUUGCAACUAUAGGCUCCAGCACACACCAAACAUUUGGCCCCAUCACAAUCUAAUCCAAAUUAAUCAUACUGCAACACUGCAUGUGCCAAUCCCAUGGCCUUGUUGAUUGCUAACUCUUCUCAAUAACAGCUACACUUCACCGUCUCGAUGUUUCCCCUCUCCUAUAUAUUCAGCAAGCGACCGGCUCAACACCAUCACCUCAUCAGCUCAUCAACCAAGGGAGCAUUUGAGCAUCCAUAGCACACUUCUUCAGAUUUCCAG